Molecule: long non-coding RNA, 3580 nt
Organism: Bos taurus (domestic cattle)
Lineage: Eukaryota; Metazoa; Chordata; Mammalia; Artiodactyla; Bovidae
Source: Ensembl
CCUACAGUCAGCUGCACAGAAGGAAUGCCACACUUAACUCUGCCAACAGGAAAAUAAAGCCACCCUGGUCCUCCUGGCCUCCAUUAAGAUAGCAUAACAACACAAGAGCCAUGGGGAGCAGCCUCAGACCAGCUGCUAAUGCCUAAGUAUCUUCUCUCUGGUAACUGCCUACUGCUUUCUAUUUAACGUAAUUCAUCAGCCAGAUUAGAGUAGGUCAUUCUGCAGCAUAUGAAGAAAGCAAGGCUGAUAACAUAACCUGACACAUCAAAAAUAUUCUUCUGCGAACAGCCUGAAGAGCUGUUGUUUACAAAAAGCUGUGAGCAAGCAAAAUAACCAUAUAGUUUGCCUACAGGUCAGUGGGCAGUCAGUCUGUUUAUUGCUACUCAUUUCAUUUUUGAGUAGCUCAGCACAACUGUAAUUGCUAGUUAACAGAUAGACUGGGUCCUAACUAUCAAAAAAAAAAAAAAUUCUCAAAAUGACUCUGCCAGGAGGCAGAAUAAAUAAAUUUGAAAAAGGGCGGUGGUGGGGGGUGGGGAGACACCCAGCCAGUCACUGGUCAACAAACACUGGCUGUGAAAAUCCCGGGACUCCAAGACAGGAAGCCAGCCUAGCAGCUGAGCGAUUUCUGAUCUCCGAACCAGCUGCCUUUGAUGUGAAGUUCUCCGUGUGCCUCCAAUAUGAAGACAUUAUAACUGGGCAGUGCUGGGAACUUUCUCAUCGCGGUUCACUGUGUUCAGAAACUGGCCCCAGCACCAUUCACUGUCCGAAUUCCAAAAAGGCAACAGGGAUCCAUGAUUGAAGACCAGCAUCCCCUAAUUCUGAGAGGCAACUUUUCUCCUGAUUCAAAUCUCCACGUCACAAACCAGAACGCCAUUCAAGCCUUCCAUAAACGUUAAGAGAAGUUCCGCGCCUGCCAGGGGAAGCGAAAUCCGGGCUGACUUUGAUCGACACCGAGAAGGGGGUACCUCAGUCCUGCGUUCCUAGAUGGCGGGUUUGCUCGGUGCACCACCUAGCCCUGCCGUCCGGAUCCGGGGCAAAGUCGUCCGCAGUCUUUCAGGCCGGUUCUCAGCCUCUGCCUGUAUUGUAACUCAGCCCGGGCGCAGUCAGAGAAUCGAAUCCCAGCAACAAAGCCGGGGGCGCAAACCCGCCGUGAUGAACCGGUCGGCCUGCCCCCCAACCCCUGCCUCCUCCCUUCCCGACUUGCCUUUGAAAAGACAGGCGUUGGGGCCAGAAAACGAAUACGUCCGAGGCGAGGAGGACGGAAGCAGCGGGACACAAGUGGCCUGAGUGGUCUGGGGGUCGUGGUUUGUUUACGUGUCUCUUAAACACCCAGGACCCACGGAGGUGAGCCCGGCGAGUCGGGCGCCCCACGGGAGCCUCACCGCCCCGGGCGCUGCGCAGACCGCUCGCCCCUCGCCCACCGCCCGUCUGGCGGGCCGGGGUGAACGAGGAGGCUCGCGCGGGUUUGUCUGACACUUGUAAAUGGAAGUGGGAUCCAACUUGGGAAACAAACGCGCCGGGGUCUUGGGACGGGGAGGGGCGGGAGACCGGGGAGAGGAGAAGAAAAGCCUCUUCAUCCGGCGGCGCGCUCCGAGCUCCCCGCCGGCCUCCCGCCGCAGCGGCUGCAGGUUACCCGGCCCCAAGGCCGAGCCGGGACCGGCGCGCGGGGAGCGGGGCGCGGGGCCGGGGCGGGCUGGGCCGGCAGAGGGGGCGAGCCGAGGCUACCGAGCGCCCGCUCUCCAGGCCGCCGGCACCUCUAGCUCCCGGGAGCCUCCCCGAGCCCCACGCCACGUCCCUGCAGGCUCGCCCCCUCCGUCCUCAGCCUUCCAGGGAUCCCCUUCCACUGCCAGCUCUGCCCCUAUUAUUACGUGGAGCUACAGCCGCAGGAUGCCGCCAGCACAUACACACACACCGGGGGCGGGGGGGUGGGGGGCUCCUCUCCUCUCGUUGAAAGCUACCCCGAGGCUCGCUGAGCCCGCAGCCACACUCCCGCCACCCCCGCGUCCUUGCCCCCAGCGAUCCCCAGCCCACGAAAGCGGGGCUAGGAAAAGCGAACAAUGAAAGUUGCUUUCCGCGAAGCCUCAUCGCCGUCUCUGUUUAACUGUCUCGGAAAGCACGGGCGACGCGAGUAGGCGAGAGAGGCGUGCAGACCACAGCGAGGCUAAAAACACCCGGGCUCUGCGCCCUGCGCCGGCCUGGGAGCCCGAUGCACUUUAGCUCAGCGACCCCCACUGGCGGCGCACGAGCGCGCCGGGCGAACACGCUCCCGGCCACCUCCGCCGCCGCGCCCGCGCUCCGCAGACCCCCGCCGGGACCCCGCACCCACACUGGUCCCGGCGCAGGGGUCCACCCGGCACCGCCCGGGAAGGGGCCUUGAGAGUGGAGCUGGCGCACGCUUGCAUUCGAUCCCACUCGGCAAUCCAGGGCGGACCGCAGCGCACCCGCUAGGACGCCCAAACCCGCGCGGCUUUCUUUUCAAAGACAAGCCACCUUCACGCACGCCCGCCAAAACCCGUGCUCUCCCAAGGCACUCCGUUUGCCUGUCCCCAGGAGAGCAAGGAAAGUCCCACCUCCCCGCCACUCCACAAAAAAAUCUGUCGCCCCAGUCCCAGAGUCUCUGCCGCUCGGUACACCUCACCCCGCCCGUGACCCCCGCACACCAGAGUCACACGCGGAGCGGACCCGCAGAUCGUCUCGUAACCCUUUCCCCUCCCUGCUCAGAGUGGAGUCUGGGCUCUACUACAGCCGGCGCCUCGCCAGGCGACGACCCAACUUGAGCCUCGGGUCCCGAAGUGCAUCCUUUGGCUUCUGAAUGUCCCUACAGCGCCCCACCGGCAGCGGCCACCGAGCAGGCUCGCCGCCUGGCCCCUCCGAUCCACCUGCAGUGGGCGGGCGGCCGGGAGUCGGGGGCCGGGUGCAUCGUUCUGAAAGCCGCCCCCCGCCCCCUUUUCCAAAUCCUGAGCCCCAAACUUGGCCAACUCUCCAUGCCAACCUCCCGGCUACCGCCGCCAGACCGAGCCUCCUUCCCCUCCUCCUCGCGGCGGCAGCCAAGGCUGCUCCGAGCCUUGCCGAGGCAGGAACUUUACCAGCCGCUCCCUGGGGCUCCAGGACACCGCGAACGUGUCUUCCUGGCGCGGGUGGUGCUGGUGAUGCUGGCUCCAGGAAGCUCACCCUCAUCGCUAUCUCAGCCCCGCCACAGCCCUGCGCCGAGGUCUCACACGUGCUGCUCUCACGAGACCGGGGAGGAAACUGAGCUCUCGGCCUGUGACCUCUGCUUUGUCGCAGCUGCACAGUGGCCCCACCGCCCUCCGCAGGUGGAGGACUUCCCGCGAAGGCCUGCAGCAGCCUCGCCGCCUUGACUGUCCCAUAAAGUACCAGCACGCUCUGGUCAUCGCCUGGAGAGUUUAAUGUGAAUACUGAAGAACAGGGAGGGCUCUCCUUACAUCAGCUAACUCUGAGGCCAUCAGCAUGAUGUUACCUAGGGCUUCCUUGUCUCGGAAGGCUGGAAGAUGGGUCUGGAGGGAGGGAAAACCACCAACGUGGCUAGGAAAACGUUCCAGUCCUCCAAAAUAUUAUCAAU